This 475-nucleotide ribosomal RNA is filed under the name uncultured bacterium. RNAcentral describes it as "bacterial SSU rRNA". It matches the Rfam family "Bacterial small subunit ribosomal RNA", at positions 29 to 507 of the family's 1533-position model. The record is from RNAcentral.
AAUGAACGUUGGCGGCGUGGAUUAGGCAUGCAAGUCGCACGAGAAACCAAUUAGCUUGCUAAGAGGUGGACAGUGGCGCAAGGGAGAGUAACGCGUGGUUACUUGCCCUCGAGACCGGGAUAGUGUCGGGAAACUGGCAGUAAUACCGGAUAACAUCUUCGGAUCAAAUGGUGUGAUUCCGCUCGAGGAUAGGACCGCGUACUAUUAGCUUGUUGGUGAGGUAACGGCUCACCAAGGCUGCGAUGGUUACCGGGUGUGAGAGCAUGGCCCGGCUCACUGGGACUGAGACACUGCCCAGACACCUACGGGUGGCUGCAGUCGAGAAUCUUCGGCAAUGGACGAAAGUCUGACCGAGCGACGCCGCGUGCGGGAUGAAGGCCCUCGGGUUGUAAACCGCUGUCAGUAGUUAGGAAGUCCAUGAGGGUUAUCUCUCAUGGUUGACCGAUCUUCAGAGGAAGGACGGGCUAAGUUCGUG